AUUGAACGCUGGCGGCAUGCCUUACACAUGCAAGUCGAACGGUAACAGGUCUUCGGAUGCUGACGAGUGGCGAACGGGUGAGUAAUACAUCGGAACGUGCCUAGUAGUGGGGGAUAACUACUCGAAAGAGUGGCUAAUACCGCAUGAGAUCUACGGAUGAAAGCAGGGGAUCGCAAGACCUUGUGCUACUAGAGCGGCCGAUGGCAGAUUAGGUAGUUGGUGGGAUAAAAGCUUACCAAGCCGGCGAUCUGUAGCUGGUCUGAGCGGACGAUCAGCCACACUGGGACUGAGAAACGGCCCAGACUCCUACGGGAGGCAGCAGUGGGGAAUUUUGGACAAUGGGCGCAAGCCUGAUCCAGCAAUGCCGCGUGCAGGAUGAAGGCCUUCGGGUUGUAAACUGCUUUUGUACGGAACGAAAAGCCCCGGGUUAAUACCCCGGGGUCAUGACGGUACCGUAAGAAUAAGCACCGGCUAACUACGUGCCAGCCGCCGCCGUAA
This 498-nucleotide ribosomal RNA is filed under the name uncultured bacterium. RNAcentral's name for it is "partial 16S ribosomal RNA". It matches the Rfam family "Bacterial small subunit ribosomal RNA", at positions 30 to 523 of the family's 1533-position model. The record is from RNAcentral.